UUAGAUCAAAACCAAACGGCUCUCGGGCCGUCUCCCUGGUGAAUCUGAAUAACUUUGGGCUGAUCGCACGGUCUUGGUGCCGGCGACGUAUCCUUCCAAGGUGUGCCCUAUCAACUGUCGACUGUGGCAUAGACGCCCACAGUGGUUUUGACGGGUAACGGGGAAUUAGGGUUCGAUUCCGGAGAGGGAGCCUGAGAAACGGCUACCACUUCUACGGAAGGCAGCAGGCACGCAAAUUACCCACUGGCCGAAGGCCGAGGUAGUGACGAAAAAUAACGAUACCGGACUCAUCCGAGGCCCGGUAAUCGGAAUGAGUACACUUUAAAUCCUUUAACGAGGAACAAUUGGAGGGCAAGUCUGGUGCCAGCAGCCGCGGUAAUUCCAGCUCCAAUAGCGUAUAUUAAAGUUGUUGCGGUUAAAAAGCUCGUAGUUGGACCUCAAUGGGCAGUUUGUGGUCCGCUGCUUAGCGGUACUACUUGUUUUGCCCAUGUACUUUUGGGAGUCGGCGUUGGUGUCCUUAACCGGAUGUCAGCGGUGUUCCCAAGGUUUACUUUGAAAAAAUUAGAGUGCUCCAAG
This 576-nucleotide ribosomal RNA is filed under the name uncultured eukaryote. RNAcentral describes it as "bacterial SSU rRNA". It matches the Rfam family "Eukaryotic small subunit ribosomal RNA", at positions 210 to 780 of the family's 1831-position model. The record is from RNAcentral.